This 1122-nucleotide long non-coding RNA is filed under the name Canis lupus familiaris (dog). RNAcentral's name for it is "lncRNA (ENSCAFG00845020477.1)". The record is from RNAcentral. Lineage: Eukaryota; Metazoa; Chordata; Mammalia; Carnivora; Canidae.
AUGCUCCCCGACGGCCUCGGUCGGUGGCUGGCGGCUUUGCUGCAAGCGGCAGUGCGGACUUCCCGUUUCCCGGAAAACCACUCUAAUCCGUCCCUCCCCAUCGUAGCCGCUGCUGCCCUGAAGCGCGCUGGGAACAGAACCUGCCGGUCGGGGGGGAGCGCGCCCCCCGGGGAGCUUGACACCCCCCGUCCCCUCUCGGUGCCUGAGCUCCGUUGCCCGAGAUGGACCCGCUCGGGAUCCUUGGGCGCCGAGGCCCGGAGAGGGAACCUGUCAGUUUGGGGAACGCGGGAAGCCGCGUCUGCGUGGCGGUUGCCUUCGCAGCAUCCCCAGCUGUUUUAUUUUAUUGUAACUUCCUUGCAAACAGGCCCCUCGGAUGAGGCCCCCCGGCGCGCCAGGUUCUCCUUCCACCUCGAGCGGCGAGACCGAGAGUCCCCAAGGACGCCGCUCCCGGCCCCCGCGCCCCGGCCGCGCUUGGCACACAAAGGCCAGCGCCAGCGGGACGCAGCUGGUCGCGGUUUCCCGCUCAGCAGCCCCCAGGUGGCGCCGCCCCCCGCCCCGCGUCGGGGACCCGCGGCCCGAGCCCGGGACCACGCUGGGGCUAAGGCGGGGGCUCGCAGCCGAGGGAGCACGCUCGGAUGCCCCGGUGGGGAGGGCCGAGGGGGAGGAGGAGGCGCAGGGCGCCGAUCUCGCGCCUCUGAACUUUAUGGGGUUGAAAGUUUCCUCUGCUGUCGCCUCCCCCUUGCGUGCGGAGCUGUGCCUUGCGUGCGCGGCUUCUGGAAAGUCGUCGGCUCUGGUCAUAUCCUUGGGCGCUUCUCACGGCACCUGACACGCCGGGGCGGCGGCGGCGGCGGCCCAGGGCGGGGUGCGAGCCGCCACCACCCUCCGCGGCGCACGCACGGCCGCACCCGGGCUGGCCGGAGAGGCGGGCGCCCAGACUCGGCGGCGGGUAGGCGGAUCGCGAGAUGCGGAGCGGGGCGUGCUCGGCCGGCACCUUCCCCCGCGGGCUGCGCCCUUCCUCACUGGCUGGCACAAAGUAUUUUCAAGCCCCUGCAGAGAAAAAGGUCUUCUCGGAAGGCUGGGGAAAGGGCGAGCCCCGGGAAGGGUGGGAUGGAUGGUAGCUAA